GAUGUUUUCCGAUUUUGUCGUGAUACUGGUGUUGACCAUCUGUUGGACACCGAAGGCGCGGGAUAAGCUCCCACUUCCGUAGUUUUACCAGCUUCACCCGCAUUGCCCUGCCUUAAUGAGCAUGUCACGAGCAACGGCGGGCCCGUGAGUACCUCGGUCAUCGAAGCAUUCACGAUACACCCUUGACAACUCCAUUGGCGGGCUCGCUGAACUUGUGGCCGGGCGUCCCCAAUCUCGCAACAAACAAAAGUCAGCGCCAUGGUUCAAACCGCGAAUUCGACAGCUGGUAGGGCUGGUAGGUGUUGUGCGCCAAGCUGGACAACAUACCCCGACAUCGCAUGCCAGUUGUCGUACGACGCAAGCGAAUCCGCCGGACGGCCUGCAGCUGAUGCUGGGCUACGUCGAGUCGUCGGGUCCCCACGGCAAGCCGAGCUUCGUGUGCAACGCCUGCAGCUACCAGACUGAGCGCAAGGCACACAUCAUGCGCCACCUGAGGGGCCACGCGGGCGAGCGCCCCUACAGCUGCCAGCACUGCGUGAGCGCCUUCGUGCACAAGCACCACCUGGACCGGCACACGAGGCAGCUGCACGGCAGCGCGGUCAAGGCCCGCAAGGGCAAGCGCUGAGGCCUGCGUCCUUCUUGCACGGCGACGCGCUCGAGGUCUGCCUUUGUCAGAACGCGAAGUGGAAGCUGCGCUCGGAGUGUAGCGUGGCCACGACGUGCUCCAGUGAAGGCCGGCUUCUGCGUUUGCGUUUGAGUAUGCUUCGAGCGCGUUGUGUCAACAUCAUCUGGAAUCGAUGCCUGUGCGCUCGAAUUUCGACCCCAUCGCAGGGAGAUUGAGCAGGGACCCGAUUUGGACGUGAGUACUGCGUCGGCAUUUGGAUAGCGACAGCGUCCACUUGGUGUGUCGAAGGAUGCGCGGCAUCGGGCUUGGACACAUAGAACCCUUCAACUAUUGCGCCCUCUUACGGUUGAUCUGAAGAUGCUGCAAAGUGGCAUAAUGGGGAGUCUAUAACUCGUAAAUAGUAACUUUCAAGAGUCUGUAAACAAUCGGUAGACUUGCCCUUUUUCACGGCGUCUUCUGCGCACGCCACUUUGCAAUAUCUUCUGAUCGACCGCAAGAGGGCGUAAUCUAUGAAGGAGUCUCUCGUCGAGUUGGCGCCAUCAAUGUUACUGGAACGAUUCAGUUGGGAAACUGCUACAGGAGCCUGCUUUGAAAAAGUGGCUCUGAUCAGCACUCGAGAACCUAACUCGACGCGAUCGCAACGCCGCCGUUUCUCCCGCAGCGGCCACUUUGGUAACUUCAUGGCUGCGUGUGCCGGUCCAGUUGAGUCGCGCAAGGGCCGGUGGUGCCACCCACAGCGGCAUCUCACAGUGGCUAUGCAAAGCAACUUUCACGUUUUGACUCUCCUCUAAAUGGCAGUGCCGUAAUCGUAUCUAUAAUCAGUGACAGGUCAAGAACGAAGGGGAAGCUCCUCCCACCUUUUUCCACUUUAGUAGAGCGAACGCUGGAGAGGAGGCGACCCCCUCUAAACCGUUUGCUCCGCUGAAGUGGAAAGGGGUGAGAGAAGCCUCCACUUCAUUCUUAACCUGUCACUGAGUGUAGUUUGGUCUCAGUGGCCGCGAGCAGUCCGGGUUUCAAGGGCGAGUUUCCCAACGGAGUCUGCAAUGUUCGCUUAUCUCCCACCAAGGCUAGCAACGCCAUUACUGCCGAGGUCACCAUCGAGAAUAGCCCUGCAGUUACUAGCUGUCUGCCAACUUUCAUUGUUGUAAAAAAAAAAAAGAAAUCAAGUUAUGUUAAAAGUAUGGGUAUAGGUUAACUUUCGAGGGUGGGGCAUCUCUCCGGAUAUUACCGUAGGUGGGGUCGGUGGUCUUUUUUCGUAACCGCUUAUAACGCGGGCACGCUGGCCCCACCUGUCUGGGAGCCCGGAACGCUACCGACCCUUGGACAACAAGAAGGUAUUGCAGUAUUUGUGAGAACAAAUCUAUGCAUUAUCUACGAGAAAUUGUCACUUGUAAGUUAUAACGCCAAAAUUAUUUUGAGGCCACGGUGAAAAAAUGAUGCAUAAGAAAGCAACGAUAUAUACGUAGGUCGGGAGUGUUCUAGGGCUACUUCGACAGAUGGCGUGAGUGUGCCUGUCUGUUAAGCGGCUGCGAGAGAAUGUAAUGCACUCGAGCAGACUCGGACAAAGAUCUGUGAACCGGCCUUAAAGAUGUAUGAUGCUUCGUGGCAGCCGCGGCAUAAGCAAACUGGCCGGCGAAGUCGGUCUAUUGCAGUCUCUACGGCAACACAUGGGCCAUCGUCAGGUGUGCUAACUUCUCAUUGUUCCUUCAUUUUGUGAAAAUAUAAACUGAGGAAAUCAACUUUUUGAAAACGGUUUCUCGCGUACAUGGAACAGCAAAUUGUCACACUAUUUUAAGGAUCUCCCACUACGUAUGUCGUGUUACAGAUAGUCGAGACUCCUCGAGGGGGAAAAACCGAUUAAUGAAAUUUGCUUAAUCGACAGUGAAACAAAGUAGUCGCCAUGUGCGUAGUCACGUUUUUAUGCCAGCAUGUGCAGAUUGUUCCGAGCGUGUGAGACACCGGCGUAGCCUUCCACCUUGCUCUCCUCAGAAGUUGUCCAUGAACAGAGUCCCACGACACUGCCGCAUUCCAUGGUGCUCAAUGGGACUGGAUCCCCGUCAGAACGUGAAAGUGACAAUUGGGUGUGUGCGUAUCAGCAAGCUUCUGCAUUCCAAGCGACAAGCGUCGGGUGUGCGGUGGAUUCAUGCCGGGCGCGCUUUGGAAGAUGCAUCCGAAGAUGCGUUUACGGACACUCAACACUACUCUUAAUACAAUCGUCACCUUUCCUUA
Ixodes scapularis (black-legged tick) is the source of this 2854-nucleotide RNA transcript. RefSeq lists it as uncharacterized. The record is from RefSeq and is a predicted model, not a curated record. Lineage: Eukaryota; Metazoa; Arthropoda; Arachnida; Ixodida; Ixodidae. The transcript is spliced from 2 exons.